GGGGUUGUGGCUCAGUUGGUAGAGUGCUUGCCUAGUAUGUAUGAGGCACUGGGUUUGAUUCUCAGCACCACA
Molecule: transfer RNA, 72 nt
Filed under: Marmota monax (woodchuck)
Lineage: Eukaryota; Metazoa; Chordata; Mammalia; Rodentia; Sciuridae
Description: tRNA.Thr
Rfam family: tRNA
About the family: Transfer RNA (tRNA) molecules are approximately 80 nucleotides in length.
Source: RNAcentral